GAUGAACGCUAGCGACAGGCUUAACACAUGCAAGUCGAGGGGCAGCGGGGUAGUGCUUGCACUACUGCCGGCGACCGGCGCACGGGUGAGUAACACGUAUGGAACCUGCCCGCAGCAGGGGGAUAAGCGGAAGAAAUUCCGUCUAAUACCGCGUAACAACGUUGGGAGGCAUCUCCCGAUGUUUAAAGAUUUAUCGGCUGCGGAUGGCCAUGCGGCGCAUUAGCUAGUCGGCGGGGUAACGGCCCACCGAGGCGACGAUGCGUAGGGGUUCUGAGAGGAAGGUCCCCCACACUGGUACUGAGACACGGACCAGACUCCUACGGGAGGCAGCAGUGAGGAAUAUUGGUCAAUGGCCGAGAGGCUGAACCAGCCAAGUCGCGUGAGGGAAGACGGCCCUACGGGUUGUAAACCUCUUUUGUCGGGGAGCAAAGCGAACCACGUGUGGUUCAUUGAGAGUACCCGAAGAAAAAGCAUCGGCUAACUCCGUGCCAGCAGCCGCGGUAAUACGGAGGAUGCGAGCGUUAUCCGGAUUUAUUGGGUUUAAAGGGUGCGCAGGCGGAGGUGCAAGUCAGCGGUCAAAUUGCGGGGCUCAACCCCGUACUGCCGUUGAAACUGCAUCCCUUGAGUGCGCGAGAAGUAUGCGGAAUGCGUGGUGUAGCGGUGAAAUGCAUAGAUAUCACGCAGAACUCCGAUUGCGAAGGCAGCAUACCGGCGCGCAACUGACGCUCAUGCACGAAAGCGUGGGUAUCGAACAGGAUUAGAUACCCUGGUAGUCCACGCAGUAAACGAUGAACACUAACUGUUCGGCCAGAAUGAUGGCUGAGUGGUACAGCGAAAGCGUUAAGUGUUCCACCUGGGGAGUACGCCGGCAACGGUGAAACUCAAAGGAAUUGACGGGGGCCCGCACAAGCGGAGGAACAUGUGGUUUAAUUCGAUGAUACGCGAGGAACCUUACCCGGGCUCAAACGACACAGGAAUACUUUUGAAAGGAGGUAGCCCUACGGGGUCUGUGUCGAGGUGCUGCAUGGUUGUCGUCAGCUCGUGCCGUGAGGUGUCGGCUUAAGUGCCAUAACGAGCGCAACCCCUAUCGCCAGUUACCAUCAAGUAAAGUUGGGGACUCUGGCGAGACUGCCGGCGCAAGCUGAGAGGAAGGCGGGGAUGACGUCAAAUCAGCACGGCCCUUACGUCCGGGGCGACACACGUGUUACAAUGGCAGGUACAGAGAGAAGCCAGGUGGCGACACCGCGCGGAACUCGAAAGCCUGUCUCAGUUCGGAUCGGAGUCUGCAACCCGACUCCGUGAAGCUGGAUUCGCUAGUAAUCGCGCAACAGCCAUGGCGCGGU
RNAcentral lists this ribosomal RNA (1343 nucleotides) under uncultured bacterium. RNAcentral describes it as "partial 16S ribosomal RNA". It matches the Rfam family "Bacterial small subunit ribosomal RNA", at positions 28 to 1363 of the family's 1533-position model. The record is from RNAcentral.